AGUGAACGCUGGCGGUAGGCCUAACACAUGCAAGUCGAACGGCAGCACAGUAAGAGCUUGCUCUUACGGGUGGCGAGUGGCGGACGGGUGAGGAAUACAUCGGAAUCUACUUUUUCGUGGGGGAUAACGUAGGGAAACUUAUGCUAAUACCGCAUACGACCUACGGGUGAAAGCAGGGGUUCUUCGGACCUUUCGCGAUUGAUUGAGCCGAUGUCGGAUUAGCUAGUUGGCGGGGUAAAGGCCCACCAAGGCGACGCUCCGUAGCUGGUCUGAGAGGAUGAUCAGCCACACUAGAACUGAGACACGGUCCAGACUCCUACAGGAGGCAGCAGUGGGGAAUAUUGGACAAUGGGCGCAAGCCUGAUCCAGCCAUACCGCGUGGGUGAAGAAGGCCUUCUGGUUGUAAAGCCCUUUUGUUGGGAAAGAAAAGCAGCAGGUUAAUACCCCGCUGUUCUGACGGUACCCAAAGAAUAAGCACCGGCUAACUUCGUG
This 492-nucleotide ribosomal RNA is filed under the name uncultured bacterium. RNAcentral describes it as "partial 16S ribosomal RNA". It matches the Rfam family "Bacterial small subunit ribosomal RNA", at positions 29 to 507 of the family's 1533-position model. The record is from RNAcentral.